AUACGGAGGGUGCAAGCGUUAUCCGGAAUCAUUGGGUUUAAAGGGUCCGUAGGCGGGCGAUUAAGUCAGAGGUGAAAUCCCACAGCUCAACUGUGGAACUGCCUUUGAUACUGGUUGUCUUGAGUUAUAGUGAAGUAGAUAGAAUGUGUAGUGUAGCGGUGAAAUGCAUAGAUAUUACACAGAAUACCGAUUGCGAAGGCAGUCUACUAACUAUUGACUGACGCUAAUGGACGAAAGCGUGGGGAGCGAACAGGAUUAGAAACCAGGGUAGUCC
This 274-nucleotide ribosomal RNA is filed under the name uncultured bacterium. RNAcentral describes it as "partial 16S ribosomal RNA". It matches the Rfam family "Bacterial small subunit ribosomal RNA", at positions 523 to 796 of the family's 1533-position model. The record is from RNAcentral.